RNAcentral lists this ribosomal RNA (255 nucleotides) under uncultured bacterium. RNAcentral's name for it is "partial 16S ribosomal RNA". It matches the Rfam family "Bacterial small subunit ribosomal RNA", at positions 524 to 777 of the family's 1533-position model. The record is from RNAcentral.
UACGAAGGGGGCUAGCGUUGCUCGGAAUUACUGGGCGUAAAGGGAGCGUAGGCGGAUAGUUAAGUCAGAGGUGAAAGCCCAGGGCUCAACCUUGGAAUUGCCUUUGAUACUGGCUAUCUUGAGUAUGGGAGAGGUAAGCGGAACUCCGAGUGUAGAGGUGAAAUUCGUAGAUAUUCGGAAGAACACCAGUGGCGAAGGGCGGCUUACUGGCCCAUUACUGACGCUGAGGCUCGAAAGCGUGGGGAGCAAACAGGG